ACUAGCAUAUCAAUAAGCGGAGGAAAAGAAACCAACAGGGAUUGCCCUAGUAACGGCGAGUGAAGCGGCAACAGCUCAAAUUUGAAAUCUGGCGCAAGCCCGAGUUGUAAUUUGUAGAGGAUGCUUCUGGCCAGCGGCCGUUCUAAGUUCCUUGGAACAGGACGUCAUAGAGGGUGAGAAUCCCGUAUGUGACCGGCGCGCAGCCUUUACGUAGCUCCUUCGACGAGUCGAGUUGUUUGGGAAUGCAGCUCUAAAUGGGAGGUAAAUUUCUUCUAAAGCUAAAUACCGGCCAGAGACCGAUAGCGCACAAGUAGAGUGAUCGAAAGAUGAAAAGUACUUUGGAAAGAGAGUUAAAAAGCACGUGAAAUUGUUGAAAGGGAAGCGCUUGCAACCAGACUUCGUAGCGGUGUUCCGCCGGUCUUCUGACCGGUCUACUCACCGUCGCGAGGCCAACAUCGUCUGGGACCGCCGGAUAAGACCUAAGGAAUGUAGCUUCCCUCGGGAAGUGUUAUAGCCUGUGGUGAUGCGGCGCGUCUCGGGCGAGGUCCGCGCUUCGGCAAGGAUGUUGGCGUAAUGGUUGUCAGCGGCCCGUCUUGAAACACGGACCAAGGAGUCUAACAUCUAUGCGAGUGUUCGGGUGUCAAACCCCUACGCGUAAUGAAAGUGAACGGAGGUGGGAAGCGCAAGCUGCACCAUCGACCGAUCCUGAUGUCCUCGGAUGGAUUUGAGUAAGAGCAUAGCUGUUGGGACCCGAAAGAUGGUGAACUAUGCCUGAAUAGGGUGAAGCCAGAGGAAACUCUGGUGGAGGCUCGCAGCGGUUCUGACGUGCAAAUCGAUCGUCAAAUUUGGGUAUAGGGGCGAAAGACUAAUCGAACCAUCUAGUAGCUGGUUCCUGCCGAAGU
Molecule: ribosomal RNA, 902 nt
Filed under: Passalora sp.
Lineage: Eukaryota; Fungi; Ascomycota; Dothideomycetes; Mycosphaerellales; Mycosphaerellaceae
Description: partial large subunit ribosomal RNA
Rfam family: Eukaryotic large subunit ribosomal RNA
Source: RNAcentral